RNAcentral lists this ribosomal RNA (253 nucleotides) under uncultured bacterium. RNAcentral describes it as "partial 16S ribosomal RNA". It matches the Rfam family "Bacterial small subunit ribosomal RNA", at positions 524 to 776 of the family's 1533-position model. The record is from RNAcentral.
GACAGAGGGUGCAAACGUUGUUCGGAAUUACUGGGCGUAAAGCGCGUGUAGGCGGCUAUGCAAGUCGGGCGUGAAAUCCCACGGCUCAACCGUGGAAGUGCACUCGAAACUGCGUAGCUAGAGUCCCGGAGAGGAAGGUGGAAUACUUGGUGUAGAGGUGAAAUUCGUAGAUAUCGGGAAGAGCACCCGUGGCGAAGGCGGUUCUCUGGGACGGUACUGACGCUGAGACGCGAAAGCGUGGGGAGCGAACAGG